GACGAACGCUGGCGGCGUGCUUAACACAUGCAAGUCGAACGCUGAAGCUCAGCUUUUGUUGGGUGGAUGAGUGGCGAACGGGUGAGUAACACGUGAGUAACCUGCCUCCUUCUUUGGGAUAGCGCCCGGAAACGGGUGCUAAUACUGGAUAUUCACUGGUCUUCGCAUGGGGGUUGGUGGAAAGGGUUUUUCUGGUGGGGGAUGGGCCCGCGGCCUAUCAGCUUGUUGGUGGGGUGAUGGCCUACCAAGGCUUUGACGGGUAGCCGGCCUGAGAGGGUGACCGGUCACAUUGGGACUGAGAUACGGCCCAGACUCCUACGGGAGGCAGCAGUGGGGAAUAUUGCACAAUGGGCGCAAGCCUGAUGCAGCGACGCCGCGUGAGGGAUGGAGGCCUUCGGGUUGUGAACCUCUUUCGCUCAUGGUCAAGCCGCAACAAUGGUUGUGGUGAGGGUAGUGGGUAAAGAAGCGCCGGCUAACUACGUG
Molecule: ribosomal RNA, 483 nt
Filed under: uncultured bacterium
Lineage: Bacteria
Description: partial 16S ribosomal RNA
Rfam family: Bacterial small subunit ribosomal RNA
Source: RNAcentral